Non-coding RNA from Pelobates cultripes (western spadefoot toad), 321 nucleotides. Lineage: Eukaryota; Metazoa; Chordata; Amphibia; Anura; Pelobatidae. The record is from the annotation of a GenBank genome assembly.
CUUUGACUUAUGUCAUAAAACAAACAUUAUAAACCCUUACAUCUUGAAUCUACCCUAUUUUAACAGUAGCUGCCCUACAACAAAACCCACCUUUUGAAGAAUGAUACCCAUUUACCCGUAAAGUUAUGACACUUUAUUGCUUAUUCAAUUUUUUUUUAUUUUUUUUUCAUUGAGCACAUGCACCACCAGUUGGGAAACCUUGGCCUAAAAUAAGCACAUACCCACCCUUAUAAUAACCACUGAGCACAUGCAUUAGCAGUUGGGAAACCUUGGCCUUAAAUAGGCAAAUACCCACCCUUGUAAUAAUAGACAACUCAAACC